CGUGCCGUGAGGUGUUGGGUUAAGUCCCGCAACGAGCGCAACCCCUGCGGCCAGUUAGAGUAUCACUGGCCGGACCGCCGGCUUGCUGCCGGAGGAAGGCGGGGAUGACGUCAAGUCCGCAUGGCCCUUACGACUUGGGCGACACGCACGCUACAAUGGCCGGCACAAUGGGCGGCGAAACCGCGAGGUGGAGCUAAUCCCCAAAGUCGGCCUCAGCUCGGAUCGGGGGCUGCAACUCGCCCCCGUGAAGUCGGAGUUGCUAGUAACCGCAGGUCAGCCAUACUGCGGUGAAUCUGUUCCCGGGCCUU
This 308-nucleotide ribosomal RNA is filed under the name uncultured bacterium. Its description in RNAcentral is "bacterial SSU rRNA". It matches the Rfam family "Bacterial small subunit ribosomal RNA", at positions 1061 to 1382 of the family's 1533-position model. The record is from RNAcentral.